UUCCACUAGUUUGUAGGAUUUCAACCUCUAGGGCAGUGGUUCCCAUCCCUGGUCCUGGAGGCACCCAAACACUGCUCAUUUUGCAUGUCUUCUUUCUCUGACACACCA
This is a long non-coding RNA of Sinocyclocheilus anshuiensis, 108 nucleotides long. RefSeq lists it as uncharacterized. The transcript has 3 exons. The record is from RefSeq and is a predicted model, not a curated record. Lineage: Eukaryota; Metazoa; Chordata; Actinopteri; Cypriniformes; Cyprinidae.